GACGAACGCUGGCGGCGUGCCUAACACAUGCAAGUCGAGCGAGGUAUUUAUACCUAGCGGCGGACGGGUGAGUAACACGUGGGUAACCUGCCUCAUAGAGGGGAAUAGCCUUCCGAAAGGGAGAUUAAUACCGCAUAAUAUAUACCGGUAGCAUUAAUGGUAUAUCAAAGGAGAAAUCCGCUAUGAGAUGGGCCCGCGGCGCAUUAGCUAGUUGGAGAGGUAACGGCUCACCAAGGCGACGAUGCGUAGCCGACCUGAGAGGGUGAUCGGCCACAUUGGAACUGAGACACGGUCCAGACUCCUACGGGAGGCAGCAGUGGGGAAUAUUGCACAAUGGGGGAAACCCUGAUGCAGCAACGCCGCGUGAAUGAUGACGGCCUCGGUUGUAAG
RNAcentral lists this ribosomal RNA (390 nucleotides) under uncultured bacterium. Its description in RNAcentral is "bacterial SSU rRNA". It matches the Rfam family "Bacterial small subunit ribosomal RNA", at positions 28 to 429 of the family's 1533-position model. The record is from RNAcentral.